This 274-nucleotide ribosomal RNA is filed under the name uncultured bacterium. RNAcentral's name for it is "partial 16S ribosomal RNA". It matches the Rfam family "Bacterial small subunit ribosomal RNA", at positions 335 to 600 of the family's 1533-position model. The record is from RNAcentral.
ACUCCUACGGGAGGCAGCAGUGGGGAAUAUUGGACAAUGGGGAACCGUAGCAUCCAGCCAUGCCGCGUGUGUGAAGAAGGCCUUCGGGUUGUAAAGCACUUUCAGUGGGGAGGAAAGGAUUGUUGGUUAAUACCUAACAGCUGUGACGUUACCCACAGAAGAAGCACCGGCUAACUCCGUGCCAGCAGCCGCGGUAAUACGGAGGGUGCAAGCGUUAAUCGGAAUUACUGGGCGUAAAGCGUGCGCAGGCGGUCUGUUAAGCGAGAUGUGAAAG